GUCGGGAUAGCUCAGUCGGUAGAGCANAGGACUGAA
Molecule: transfer RNA, 36 nt
Filed under: Carex nigricans
Lineage: Eukaryota; Viridiplantae; Streptophyta; Magnoliopsida; Poales; Cyperaceae
Description: partial tRNA-Phe
Source: RNAcentral